GGCAUGAUGGCUCAGUGGUAGAGCAUUGGUCUCGUAACCAGAAGGUCCUGGGUUCAAAACCAAGCCGUGCCU
Strongylocentrotus purpuratus (purple sea urchin) is the source of this 72-nucleotide non-coding RNA. The record is from Rfam. NCBI's taxonomy places the organism in Eukaryota, Metazoa, Echinodermata, Echinoidea, Camarodonta, Strongylocentrotidae.